CACCAGAGGGCGCAAUAAGACCU
RNAcentral lists this transfer RNA (23 nucleotides) under Nerodia fasciata pictiventris. RNAcentral's name for it is "partial tRNA-Ser". The record is from RNAcentral. Lineage: Eukaryota; Metazoa; Chordata; Lepidosauria; Squamata; Natricidae.